This 436-nucleotide ribosomal RNA is filed under the name Idyla bicristata. RNAcentral describes it as "partial 16S ribosomal RNA". Lineage: Eukaryota; Metazoa; Mollusca; Gastropoda; Stylommatophora; Clausiliidae. The record is from RNAcentral.
AUUUCUGCCCGGUGAAUAUAUUUUUAACGGCCGCAGUACACUGACUGUGCAAAGGUAGCAUAAUAAAUUGGCUUUUAAUUGAAGUCGGGAAUGAAAGAAAAUUUGGGAUUUUACUGUCUUUAAUUAUUUUUAUAUAAAAUUAAUCUUAGAAAGUGAAAAUACUUUCAGAAAAUAUAAUAGACGAGAAGACCCUAUAAAUUUUAAAUAAAGGUAACUUUUUUAAUAGUGGUAUUACUAUUUUUUGUUGGGGCAACAACUUACCAUUAGCUAAAUGAAUAAUAUAAUGUAGGUAAAGUAUUAUAGUUACAUAUACUUUUUAAUAAUAAUCCAAGUAUUACUAUUAAUAAAAAAAUUACUAUAGGGAUAACAGCAUAAUUUUAUUAAAAAGAUUGUGACCUCGAUGUUGGACUAGGGAAUAUUUAGGGCAGCAUUCUAA